GAUGAACGCUGGCGGCGUGCCUAACACAUGCAAGUCGAACGAUGAACCCGGAGCUUGCUCCGGCGGAUUAGUGGCGAACGGGUGAGUAACACGUGAGUAACCUGCCCUUGACUCUGGGAUAACUGCGGGAAACUGUAGCUAAUACCGGAUACGACCCUCGGCGGCAUCGCCAGGGGGUGGAAAGAAUUUCGGUCAAGGAUGGACUCGCGGCCUAUCAGCUAGUUGGUGAGGUAACGGCUCACCAAGGCAACGAUGCGUAGCCGACCUGAGAGGGGGAUCGGCCACACUGGGACUGAGACACGGCCCAGACUCCUACGGGAGGCAGCAGUAGGGAAUCUUCCGCAAUGGACGAAAGUCUGACGGAGCAACGCCGCGUGAGUGAUGAAGGCUUUCGGGUCGUAAAACUCUGUUGUUAGGGAAGAACAAGUGCUAGUUGAAUAAGCUGGCACCUUGACGGUACCUAACCAGAAAGCCACGGCUAACUACGUGCCAGCAGCCGCCGUAA
RNAcentral lists this ribosomal RNA (505 nucleotides) under uncultured bacterium. RNAcentral's name for it is "partial 16S ribosomal RNA". It matches the Rfam family "Bacterial small subunit ribosomal RNA", at positions 28 to 523 of the family's 1533-position model. The record is from RNAcentral.